CUUGUCCUACGGGGGGCAGCAGUGGGGAAUAUUGCACAAUGGGGGGAACCCUGAUGCAGCGACGCCGCGUGGGUGAAGGAGUAUUUCGGUAUGUAAAGCCCUAUCAGCAGGGAAGAACAAUGACGGUACCUGACUAAGAAGCAUCGGCUAACUCCGUGCCAGCAGCCGCGGUAAUACGGAGGAUGCGAGCGUUAUCCGGAUUUAUUGGGUUUAAAGGGUGCGUAGGCGGGCUGUUAAGUCAGCGGUCAAAUGUCGGGGCUCAACCCCGGCCUGCCGUUGAAACUGGCGGCCUCGAGUGGGCGAGA
RNAcentral lists this ribosomal RNA (305 nucleotides) under uncultured bacterium. Its description in RNAcentral is "bacterial SSU rRNA". It matches the Rfam family "Bacterial small subunit ribosomal RNA", at positions 333 to 655 of the family's 1533-position model. The record is from RNAcentral.